RNAcentral lists this ribosomal RNA (301 nucleotides) under uncultured bacterium. RNAcentral's name for it is "partial 16S ribosomal RNA". It matches the Rfam family "Bacterial small subunit ribosomal RNA", at positions 509 to 807 of the family's 1533-position model. The record is from RNAcentral.
CAGUCGCCGCGGGAAUACGUAGGGUGCAAGCGUUAAUCGGAAUUACUGGGCGUAAAGCGUGCGCAGGCGGUUAUAUAAGUCAGAUGUGAAAUCCCCGGGCUCAACCUGGGAACUGCGUUCUGAACUGGGUAACUAGAGUGUGUCAGAGGGAGGUAGAAUUCCACGUGUAGCAGUGAAAUGCGUAGAGAUGUGGAGGAAUACCGAUGGCGAAGGCAGCCUCCUGGGAUAACACUGACGUUCAUGCCCGAAAGCGUGGGUAGCAAACAGGAUUAGAUACCCCCGUAGUCCCUGUCUCUUAUAC